CACUGACGUUCAUGCUNGAAAGCGUGGGUAGCAAACAGGAUUAGAUACCCUGGUAGUNCACGCCCUAAACGAUGUCGAUUAGCUGUUGGGCAACUUGAUUGCUUAGUAGCGUAGCUAACGCGUGAAAUCGACCGCCUGGGGAGUACGGUCGCAAGAUUAAAACUCAAAGGAAUUGACGGGGACCCGCACAAGCGGUGGAUGAUGUGGAUUAAUUCGAUGCAACGCGAAGAACCUNNCNUGGUCUUGACAUGUACGGAACCCUAUAGAGAUAGAGGGGUGCCUUCGGGAACCGUAACACAGGUGCUGCAUGGCUGUCGUCAGCUCGUGUCGUGAGAUGUUGGGUUAAGUCCCGCAACGAGCGCAACCCUUGUCNUUAGUUGCCAUCAUUUAGUUGGGCACUNUAAUGAGACUGCCGGUGACAAACCGGAGGAAGGUGGGGAUGACGUCAAGUCCUCAUGGCCCUUAUGACCAGGGCUUCACACGUCAUNCAAUGGUCGGUACAGAGGGUAGNCAAGCCGCGAGGUGGAGCCAAUCCCAGAAAACCGAUNGUAGUCCGGA
Molecule: ribosomal RNA, 558 nt
Filed under: uncultured bacterium
Lineage: Bacteria
Description: bacterial SSU rRNA
Rfam family: Bacterial small subunit ribosomal RNA
Source: RNAcentral